This 334-nucleotide long non-coding RNA is filed under the name Capsicum annuum. RNAcentral's name for it is "long non-coding RNA (CANN_LNC018352)". The record is from RNAcentral. Lineage: Eukaryota; Viridiplantae; Streptophyta; Magnoliopsida; Solanales; Solanaceae.
GGGUGGGCCCGUGGUUCGGGCGUGUUGUGGGCCAAAAAUCAAUUUGAGUGUGCCAGGGAGGUUGGGGAGCAUCCCAAUGUGGUCUGUUUGGGUCGGCAGGGGCCAUUUGGGUGUUUAAACGGGCGAAACGGUGUGAGCCCGGGGUUCGGGCGUGCUGUGGGCCGAAAAUCGACCUGGGCAUGUCAGGGAGGUUAGGGAGCGUCCCAUUAUGGUCUGUUUGGAUGGGCGAGGCCAUUUGAGUGGUCAAACGGGCAAAAUAAGGCAUUUUGGGGCCAAAUUGGUAUGCUAUAGCCCACGGUUUUAGGGGUAGGCCCGAGGUCCAGGCGUGUUGUAG